UUAAACAUGAGAACAGGAAGCAGAAGUAAGCCAUUCGGCCCCUCGAGCCUGCUCCGACCCUUACUGACCGAGACUGAUCUGACGACACAGAUCUGCUCGCUCAACACAGAUUAAAGUCAUUUAUCUAGAAAGAGCGGGAUGAGUGAAGAAAGAAAAUAUUGGGAAUGCAAUGGACUUGAAUCACCCAAGACAGCACUUUGGAUAUUUAGAUGAAUAUGGCAUAAAACCAGUAAUUCCUAAGCCAAGCAAACAACGAAAGAAAGCACCAUCCUUAUUCCUCAGGAAUGCUGGACGUAGCAAGAGGGAUGACCCAGACAUUGAUAUCUUUUAUGAUUAUUUUGCAUAACAAUUAGCAAAAUAUUUAAUUUUAUAGCUUUUUAAUAGAACACAAAAUUUGAGAAUUCUACAGCCAGGAACUUAAAAUGAGACUACUUUUUAGAAAGACAUGAGAGCAUGUUAUUGAGUUUUACUUGUUAACUAGAAAUCAACUUUCAAAUCUAGUUUUCUUUUGUUUCCCCAUUCUUGAGGAAUCCUGAUUCUAUGAGGGUUCAAUUCCAAAAUAGAAAAGUCACUACUUACGUCUCAUCUCAAAUAUCAUACUGUGAGUGUGCCAAGAAGAAAAAAAAUAUUUUGGCAGGACAUUUGACCAUGGAGUGCAUUACAGCCACGACCAACCUGUCUUCGCACUCCUGUUCCAGCAUUCGACAUUGGAUGAUAAUUAAAAUCAGAAAGCCUUCCCUUACAUCCUUCCAGAGACUAAUCUGCUGUUUCUCAAUAGUCCUGGAACUGAUGUUGGAGGUUUUCAUGUGUUCUGCAGAAAUACUGUUUAUCUACAGGCCCAUUGUGACAGUAAAUCUUAGAUUUAAAAUCCAUAACUUGUACAUUUUCAAGGUGGAGAUGGAAUCUGGAUUACACAUAUUAUCCCCAACAUUUUUCACAAAUUGUUAAAUUGCACAGUCAAUAUACACUCCAAAAUGAAAAUGCUUGCAACAUCAAGUUCCAGUCGGGAUAACAAGUAUUGAUUCCUGAUUAGAUUAGGGAUUGCUAAAUGCCACCAGACACAACAUUAGCCAUGCCACUUUCAUGUUAACUGAAGCAAAAAAAAUCACCGUAACGAGAUGAUCUUAAUUGUCACCCACUGCUUCAGCACAGAUGACCAUCUUUGUAAACCCUAGGAGAUUGAUCGUGAUCAACAUUCUGAGGGGAGUCUGCAGGCAUGCGUGCCUUCAGAACAGAAAGCAUUUGUUUCAACAAUCUAUUAAUUACAUUGCAGACUUGUCACUUGAAGAACUGUUAAUAUUGCAUCAAGCUGAUAAUGUUCAAGUUUCCCAUGUCACAAAACCUCAAUUUGAGCACCGAUUUAUAAAAUCCAUAGCAUGAUAACCUGUUGAAUUUAUGCUCUAAUCUGAAAACUACUGACGCUACCAAAUGCCUACUGUCAUUCUUAAACUUGACAUGUUGUGUUAAACAAAACAACCAAUAUCUGAUCUGGGUGAUGUGAUAAUUGGACAUUAAAAUUCAGCAAAUAAACAUUGGCAGGAAUUAAGUUGAGAACCAAGUCCUCCUGGACUUUGUACAACAGUGCAAGAAAGUAGGUAUUAGUUCUGCAUCAGUAUCCUGUUUGCUCAGAGAUAUUUUUAGAUGAUCAAAGAGAUAAAUGGAUUCUUCAAAUGAAAUCAGAGCAAUUCAAAUUCAACAGCACAUCUAAAUAAAUUAC
This is a non-coding RNA of Chiloscyllium plagiosum (whitespotted bambooshark), 1717 nucleotides long. The record is from RefSeq and is a predicted model, not a curated record. Lineage: Eukaryota; Metazoa; Chordata; Chondrichthyes; Orectolobiformes; Hemiscylliidae.